RNAcentral lists this long non-coding RNA (1647 nucleotides) under Calidris pugnax (ruff). Its description in RNAcentral is "lncRNA (ENSCPUG00000002191.1)". The record is from RNAcentral. Lineage: Eukaryota; Metazoa; Chordata; Aves; Charadriiformes; Scolopacidae.
AUGUGCUCACACUCCCUGUGCAAAUGCCCCCAAACCCUGGUGCCCCCAUCCCUGGUGCACUCAUGCUCCCUGUGCAAACACCCUCCAUCCCUGGUGCAAUCACACUCCCCGUGCAAACGCCCCCAAGCCCUGGUGCCCUCACACUCCCUGUACAAACACCCCCCAUCCCUGGUGCGCUCACACUCCCCGUGCAAACACCCUCCAUCCCUCGUGUGCUCACACUCCCCGUGCAAACGCCCCCAAGCCCUGGUGCCUCCAUCCCUGGUGCAAUCACGCUCCCUGUGCAAACACCCCACAUCCCUGGUGCCCCCAUCCCUGGUGCUGUCACACUCCCCGUGCAAACACUCCCUGUCCCUCAUGUGCUCACACUCCCCGUGCAAAUGCCCCCAAGCCCUCGUGGGCUCACACUCCCUGUGCAAGUGCCCUAAGCCUUGGUGCCCCCAUCCCUUGUGCACUCACGGUCCCCGUGCAAACACCCCCAAGCUGUGGUAUCAUCACACCCCCAUCCCUGGUGUGCUCACACUCCCCGUGCAAACGCCCUCCAAGCCCUGGUGCAAGCGCAGCCUUGGUGCUCCCAUCCCUGGUGCACUCACGCUCCCUGUGCAAAUGCCCCCAAGCUGUGGUAUCAUCACGCUCCCCGUGCAAACCCCCCCCAUCCCUGGUGCGCUCACACUCCCCAUACAAACACCCCCCAUCCCUCGUGUGCUCAAACUCAUCACACUCCCCAAGCCCUGGUGCAAGCACAGCCCUGGUGCCCCCAUCCCUGGUGUGCUCAUGCUCCCCGUGCAAACCCCUCCCCAUCCCUGGUGUGCUCACACUCCCCGUGCAAACCCCUCCCCAUCCCUCGUGUGCUCACACUCCCCAUGCAAACACCCCCCAUCCCUGGUGCCCCCAUCCCUGGUGCACUCACACUCCCCGUGCAAACACCCCCAAGCUGUGGUAUCAUCACACCCCCCGUGCAAACCCCUCCCAUCCCUGGUGCGCUCACGCUCCCCAUGCAAACACCCCCAAGCCAUAGGAACAUCACACUCCCCGUGCAAACCCCUCCCCAUCCCUGGUGUGCUCACACUCCCCGUGCAAACACCCUCAAGCCCUCACAUCAUCACGCUCCCCGUGCAAGUGCCCCUGAAGUCCUGGUGCACUCACGCUCCCCAUGCAAACACCCCCAAGCCCUGGUGCUCUCCUCCUCCCCGUGCAAACCCCUCCCCGUGCGCUCCCCCUCCCCGGUGCCGUCACCCACCCUCCUGUGCGCGGGCGAGGGUCCCGAAGGAGCCCAGCCCCUCUCUGGCCAGGAAGCCCCCGAAGACGCCUGGGGGGAAGGGGUCUCCUCCGACCUGGGUGGACUCCUCCACCCGCACCUCGCGCGUGGUCUCUCCGCCCCGCGUCUUGCUGAUCUCCGUGCGCUCCGUGCGCGUGUACGUGUGGCUGCUCCGCGUGAAGCUGCGCGUCAGGCGCUCCUGCGCCGACACCAUCUGGAACCAGUUCCCUACCAGGGACAGGGGGACAACCCAACAGGGGGGGACAACCGGAGAGAGGGGGGGAGGGGACACAGGGAGGCACGGAGGGGAUGGGGAAGGAGGGGUGGUGGUGUGGGGGGAGGGGGGGAUGGAGAUGGAGGGGGGGAGGGAGGGAUGGAGAUGGAGAUGA